Molecule: ribosomal RNA, 852 nt
Filed under: Streptococcus equinus
Lineage: Bacteria; Bacillati; Bacillota; Bacilli; Lactobacillales; Streptococcaceae
Description: bacterial SSU rRNA
Rfam family: Bacterial small subunit ribosomal RNA
Source: RNAcentral
UUUAGGCGGGGGGGCUAUACAUGCAAGUAGAACGCUGAAGACUUUAGCUUGCUAAAGUUGGAAGAGUUGCGAACGGGUGAGUAACGCGUAGGUAACCUGCCUACUAGCGGGGGAUAACUAUUGGAAACGAUAGCUAAUACCGCAUAACAGCAUUUAACCCAUGUUAGAUGCUUGAAAGGAGCAAUUGCUUCACUAGUAGAUGGACCUGCGUUGUAUUAGCUAGUUGGUGAGGUAACGGCUCACCAAGGCGACGAUACAUAGCCGACCUGAGAGGGUGAUCGGCCACACUGGGACUGAGACACGGCCCAGACUCCUACGGGAGGCAGCAGUAGGGAAUCUUCGGCAAUGGGGGCAACCCUGACCGAGCAACGCCGCGUGAGUGAAGAAGGUUUUCGGAUCGUAAAGCUCUGUUGUAAGAGAAGAACGUGUGUGAGAGUGGAAAGUUCACACAGUGACGGUAACUUACCAGAAAGGGACGGCUAACUACGUGCCAGCAGCCGCGGUAAUACGUAGGUCCCGAGCGUUGUCCGGAUUUAUUGGGCGUAAAGCGAGCGCAGGCGGUUUAAUAAGUCUGAAGUUAAAGGCAGUGGCUUAACCACUGUUCGCUUUGGAAACUGUUAGACUUGAGUGCAGAAGGGGAGAGUGGAAUUCCAUGUGUAGCGGUGAAAUGCGUAGAUAUAUGGAGGAACACCGGUGGCGAAAGCGGCUCUCUGGUCUGUAACUGACGCUGAGGCUCGAAAGCGUGAGGAGCAAACAGGAUUAGAUACCCUGGUAGUCCACGCCGUAAACGAUGAGUGCUAGGUGUUAGGCCCUUUCCGGGGCUUAGUGCCGGAGCUAACGCAUUAAGCACUC